GCCGUGUUUGUCAGGAACACCUGUAGCUGCCGCACCCGACCUCAGUCGGAUCGAUCGAUCUGCUGCCCCUCGCCCCGUCCUAACUCCAUAUAUAUACUCCCCACGUCCGGCUUGUCCGAUUUUUCGCCAAAAUCGCGGUCUCCCGUGCCCUAGGUUGAUUUCGCGAUCUCGCCGGAGUUCCACCGCUGCUGACCUGCGCCGUCAUCGUUUCCGUCGCCUACAGGGAGUACCGAACCGAGCGCAAGGACCUCGAUCCGAAGAUCACAGCCACCGCCCGAGCUCCAGCCACCCUCUGCCGUCAACCCCGUUCGCCACCGACGCCUCUGAGGACUUCUUCGAGACCGCAGCCGAGCUCCGCGCCCCAUACGCUACCCUCCGGAGUCUCGAGACCACCGGAGCAGGCGCCACCAUCGCCGCCCGAGCUGUCGCGCCGCUGUUUUGUCCAAGUCCGGCCGCCCCAGCCUCUGUUCCUCUCCGAUUGUCUGGAGUGUGAAGCGGAUCGGAAUUAAUCGCUAGAGUACUUCAGCACCUUUCAAGGC
This is a long non-coding RNA of Triticum urartu, 539 nucleotides long. RefSeq lists it as uncharacterized. Lineage: Eukaryota; Viridiplantae; Streptophyta; Magnoliopsida; Poales; Poaceae. The record is from RefSeq and is a predicted model, not a curated record.